GGAGCCUGAGAUAAACAUGCAGGAUUGGGAUAUCAGCAAAUGGGCACGCCAUGAGAAAGUGUCCCGCAAAAUGAUCAGCAGAGAUGAGGAGUUUGCUGCAAGUGCUGGUUGGCUGUGGUUGUGUUCUAUAAGCCAAAUGUCAUAAAAGAGGCUAAGCUGCUCACCUCAACACCAGAGUUGCGUCACUUGGUGCAGUCAGAAGAAAGUCCCCCAGGAGGUGAUCAUGAAGAGGCAAUAAAAAUGGUCUCCCUGUUGUCACUGUUACAUCUCCUUCCCCCGCCACCUGGGGGACCGAAGUCUCCAAAAAUGAGUGCAUGUGAUGAAAUUGAGAGACUUGUAGUCUUUCAUAAGUCAUGCUACAGUUUGGAGGAGCAUCACCGCAACCUGCAGGGUCAGCAGCCGUGCCUCCUCACUGUUUGGCAUCAGAAGAGCAAGACUGAAAGCUUCUACAUUGCCAUGGACAAGCAUCUCAUCCCCUGCCAGGCAAACUUUUCAAAGCACAUUUUCAUUUGUCUUAUGAUGCACUUGUGAAUUUCUACACAUUCCUGCAGACAACAGUGUAUAACAUUGAUGCGGGGAAAAUGAAGCAUCGCCCAGAGAGACUUUAGAGCCAGACUGCUUAACAAGCAGUAGCACUCACACUCCGUGAGUAAGGGGCUAAAACAAUGCUGACCUGUUUCAGAUGUCAGAAACUUUAUCCCAGCUGUCAGCAGUUGAUUUCACAUUU
This is a long non-coding RNA of Acanthopagrus latus (yellowfin seabream), 727 nucleotides long. RefSeq lists it as uncharacterized. The record is from RefSeq and is a predicted model, not a curated record. The transcript has 3 exons. Lineage: Eukaryota; Metazoa; Chordata; Actinopteri; Spariformes; Sparidae.